This 88-nucleotide transfer RNA is filed under the name Wolfiporia cocos MD-104 SS10. RNAcentral's name for it is "Wolfiporia cocos (strain MD-104) (brown rot fungus) tRNA". It matches the Rfam family "tRNA". From Rfam's summary of the family: Transfer RNA (tRNA) molecules are approximately 80 nucleotides in length. Their secondary structure includes four short double-helical elements and three loops (D, anti-codon, and T loops). Further hydrogen bonds mediate the characteristic L-shaped molecular structure. tRNAs have two regions of fundamental functional importance: the anti-codon, which is responsible for specific mRNA codon recognition, and the 3' end, to which the tRNAs corresponding amino acid is attached (by aminoacyl-tRNA synthetases). tRNAs cope with the degeneracy of the genetic code in two manners: having more than one tRNA (with a specific anti-codon) for a particular amino acid; and 'wobble' base-pairing, i.e. permitting non-standard base-pairing at the 3rd anti-codon position. The record is from Rfam by way of RNAcentral. Lineage: Eukaryota; Fungi; Basidiomycota; Agaricomycetes; Polyporales; Phaeolaceae.
GCCCCCAUUGUCUAAUGGCUAUGACGUCAGACUUCUAUGCGCGGUCAUGGUAAUCUGGAGGUUGCGGGUUCGAGUCCCGCUGGGGGUA